Molecule: ribosomal RNA, 468 nt
Filed under: uncultured bacterium
Lineage: Bacteria
Description: partial 16S ribosomal RNA
Rfam family: Bacterial small subunit ribosomal RNA
Source: RNAcentral
GACGAACGCUGGCGGCGUGCUUAACACAUGCAAGUCGAACGGAAAGGCCCUGCUUUUGUGGGGUGCUCGAGUGGCGAACGGGUGAGUAACACGUGAGUAACCUGCCCUUGACUUUGGGAUAACUUCAGGAAACUGGGGCUAAUACCGGAUAGGAGCUCCUGCUGCAUGGUGGGGGUUGGAAAGUUUCGGCGGUUGGGGAUGGACUCGCGGCUUAUCAGCUUGUUGGUGGGGUAGUGGCUUACCAAGGCUUUGACGGGUAGCCGGCCUGAGAGGGUGACCGGCCACAUUGGGACUGAGAUACGGACCAGACUGCUACGGGAGGCAGCAGUGGGGAAUAUUGCACAAUGGGCGGAAGCCUGAUGCAGAAACGCCGCGUGCGGGAUGACGGCCUUCGGGUUGUAAACCGCUUUCGCCUGUGACGAAGCGUGAGUGACGGUAAUGGGUAAAGAAGCACCGGCUAACUACGUG